This 460-nucleotide ribosomal RNA is filed under the name uncultured bacterium. RNAcentral describes it as "partial 16S ribosomal RNA". It matches the Rfam family "Bacterial small subunit ribosomal RNA", at positions 338 to 795 of the family's 1533-position model. The record is from RNAcentral.
CCUACGGGCGGCAGCAGUGAGGAAUAUUGGUCAAUGGACGAGAGUCUGAACCAGCCAAGUAGCGUGAAGGAUGACUGCCCUAUGGGUUGUAAACUUCUUUUAUAAAGGAAUAAAACGAGGCACGUGUGCCUUUUUGCAUGUACUUUAUGAAUAAGGAUCGGCUAACUCCGUGCCAGCAGCCGCGGUAAUACGGAGGAUCCGAGCGUUAUCCGGAUUUAUUGGGUUUAAAGGGAGCGUAGAUGGGUUGUUAAGUCAGUUGUGAAAGUUUGCGGCUCAACCGUAAAAUUGCAAUUGAUACUGGCAGUCGUGAGUACAGUUGAGGUAGGCGGAAUUCGUGGUGUAGCGGUGAAAUGCUUAGAGAUCACGAAGAACCCCGAUUGCGAAGGCAGCUUACUAAACUGUGACUGACAUUGAUGCUCGAAAGUGUGGGUAUCAAACAGGAUUAGAUACCCCAGUAGUC